UACGAAGGGGGCUAGCGUUGUUCGGAAUUACUGGGCGUAAAGCGCGCGUAGGCGGUGAUCUUUGUCAGAGGUGAAAUCCCGAGGCUCAACUUCGGAAUUGCCUUUGAAACGGGAUUGCUUGAGUCCGAGAGAGGUGAGUGGAAUUCCCAGUGUAGCGGUGAAAUGCGUAGAUAUUGGGAGGAACACCAGUGGCGAAGGCGGCUCACUGGACCGGAACUGACGCUGAGGCGCGAAAGCGUGGGGAGCAAACGGGG
Molecule: ribosomal RNA, 254 nt
Filed under: uncultured bacterium
Lineage: Bacteria
Description: partial 16S ribosomal RNA
Rfam family: Bacterial small subunit ribosomal RNA
Source: RNAcentral